UAGGUACUCCCUCCGUUCGGAAAUAUUUUUCUCAAAUGGAUAAAUUGGAUGUAUUUAUAACAAAAAUAAGUCUAGAUACAUCUAUUUCUAGGACAAGUAUUUCCGGACGGAGGGAGUAUUAA
This is a non-coding RNA of Triticum aestivum (bread wheat), 122 nucleotides long. NCBI's taxonomy places the organism in Eukaryota, Viridiplantae, Streptophyta, Magnoliopsida, Poales, Poaceae. The record is from Rfam.